This 492-nucleotide ribosomal RNA is filed under the name uncultured bacterium. Its description in RNAcentral is "partial 16S ribosomal RNA". It matches the Rfam family "Bacterial small subunit ribosomal RNA", at positions 29 to 507 of the family's 1533-position model. The record is from RNAcentral.
AGUGAACGCUGGCGGUAGGCCUAACACAUGCAAGUCGAACGGCAGCACAGUAAGAGCUUGCUCUUACGGGUGGCGAGUGGCGGACGGGUGAGGAAUACAUCGGAAUCUACUUUUUCGUGGGGGAUAACGUAGGGAAACUUACGCUAAUACCGCAUACGACCUACGGGUGGAAGCAGGGGAUCUUCGGACCUUGCGUGAUUGAAUGAGCCGAUGUCGGAUUAGAUAGUUGGCGGGGUAAGGGCCCACCAAGGCGACGAUCCGUAGCUGGGCUGAGAGGAUGAUCAGCCACACUGGAACUGAGACACGGUCCAGACUCCUACGGGAGGCAGCAGUGGGGAAUAUUGGACAAUGGGCGCAAGCCUGAUCCAGCCAUACCGCGUGGGUGAAGAAGGCCUUCGGGUUGUAAAGCCCUUUUGUUGGGAAAGAAAAGCAGCAGGUUAAUACCCCGCUGUUCUGACGGUACCCAAAGAAUAAGCACCGGCUAACUUCGUG